AAGUCGUAACAAGGUUUCCGUAGGUGAACCUGCGGAAGGAUCAUUACAGAGUUAGGGUCCCCAGGGCCCGACCUCCCACCCUCUGUCGUCAGAAACCUUUGUUGCCUCGGCGUUUCCGGGGGGGCCACGGUGCUUCUCGCACCCGGCAACCCGGGCGCCGGUGGACCAAUCAAAACUCUUUCUUCGAACAUUUCGUCCGAGUACAAACUAAAUGAAAUCAAAA
This 223-nucleotide unclassified non-coding RNA is filed under the name plant metagenome. RNAcentral's name for it is "partial contains small subunit ribosomal RNA and internal transcribed spacer 1". The stretch from base 1 to 46 matches the Rfam family "Eukaryotic small subunit ribosomal RNA", at positions 1786 to 1831 of the family's 1831-position model. The record is from RNAcentral.